GAAGGGUGCAAGCGUUACUCGGAAUUACUGGGCGUAAAGCGUGCGUAGGUGGUUUGUUAAGUCUGAUGUGAAAGCCCUGGGCUCAACCUGGGAAUGGCAUUGGAUACUGGCGAGCUAGAGUGCGGUAGAGGGUAGUGGAAUUCCCGGUGUAGCAGUGAAAUGCGUAGAGAUCGGGAGGAACAUCUGUGGCGAAGGCGACUACCUGGACCAGCACUGACACUGAGGCACGAAAGCGUGGGGAGCAAACAGGAUUAGAUACCCUGGUAGUCCACGCCCUAAACGAUGCGAACUGGAUGUUGGGAGCAAUUAGGCUCUCAGUAUCGAAGCUAACGCGUUAAGUUCGCCGCCUGGGGAGUACGGUCGCAAGACUG
Molecule: ribosomal RNA, 371 nt
Filed under: uncultured organism
Description: bacterial SSU rRNA
Rfam family: Bacterial small subunit ribosomal RNA
Source: RNAcentral